CCUACGGGUGGCAGCAGUGAGGAAUAUUGGUCAAUGGGCGUAAGCCUGAACCAGCCAAGUCGCGUGAGGGAUGAAGGUUCUAUGGAUCGUAAACCUCUUUUAUAAGGGAAUAAAGUGCGGGACGUGUCCCGUUUUGUAUGUACCUUAUGAAUAAGGAUCGGCUAACUCCGUGCCAGCAGCCGCGGUAAUACGGAGGAUCCGAGCGUUAUCCGGAUUUAUUGGGUUUAAAGGGUGCGUAGGCGGCCUUUUAAGUCAGCGGGGAAAGUCUGUGGCUCAACCAUAGAAUUGCCGUUGAAACUGGGAGGCUUGAGUAUGUUAGAGGAAGGCGGAAGGCGUGGUGUAGCGGUGAAAUGCUUAGAUAUCACGCAGAACCCCGAUGGCGAUGGCAGCCUGCCAAGCCAUGACUGACGCUGAUGCACGAAAGCGUGGGGAUCAAACAGGAUUAGAUACCCGUGUAGUC
RNAcentral lists this ribosomal RNA (460 nucleotides) under uncultured bacterium. RNAcentral's name for it is "partial 16S ribosomal RNA". It matches the Rfam family "Bacterial small subunit ribosomal RNA", at positions 338 to 795 of the family's 1533-position model. The record is from RNAcentral.